AAAAGAAAAGAAAAGAAAAAGAAAAAAAAACCCAGUGCCUUACUUAGCUGGACACACAGAUGAAUUAUGUUUCCUGUAUUACCCCUGUAGCUGUGGCCAUGUGACUGAAUACAAGCCAUGGAACAUGAGUUUUGAGGAAAUACUUAAAAAUAAAUUUCCUGCCAACCCAGAAAACACCUCCACAAAGGUUCUAUACACACGUGGACAAAAUUUCAAAUAUUAAAGGACUCUGUAGUCAACACCGUUGGUGCCCACGCAGGUCUUCCGCCUGGCCAGCACACCCAUUCGAGGCUGCUGAGUCUUGGCUGUUAGGGCUCACAGCUGCAACCUUCUCCAGAGAAUUGCUCUUGGCCAAGUGGGAUCUGCUUCCCGGAGUGAUUGCCUCCCACCCCCAGGUGCAACCCACAGCCAAUAAUUGACCCAAUGCAUGGGUACAAAAAGCUGGCUCUUCUGCCUCAAGGUGGGAUCAAUACUUGGUGGCAAUUUGUGCUCCUGCUUCCACGGUGUGAACAGAGACAGAGACCGUGAGCAGAGACAGGAGCAGACGGACAGAGAGAGAAUCUAAAGCAGACUCCAUGCUCAGCACCGAGCCUCAAGUGGGGCUCAUUCCCACGACCUGGGAUCAUGACCUGAGCUGAAAUCAAGCUGGACACACUACCAACUGAGCC
This is a long non-coding RNA of Felis catus (domestic cat), 668 nucleotides long. RefSeq lists it as uncharacterized. NCBI's taxonomy places the organism in Eukaryota, Metazoa, Chordata, Mammalia, Carnivora, Felidae. The record is from RefSeq and is a predicted model, not a curated record. The transcript is spliced from 3 exons.